This 1177-nucleotide long non-coding RNA is filed under the name Canis lupus familiaris (dog). Its description in RNAcentral is "lncRNA (ENSCAFG00845017821.1)". The record is from RNAcentral. Lineage: Eukaryota; Metazoa; Chordata; Mammalia; Carnivora; Canidae.
ACCUCUAUUAUCCUUUUUAUCCCUACAUUUUCUAGCUUCAUAUUCUUUGAUCAUUUCUUCAUAUGACAAUAAUUUUCUUUCUUUUUUUUUUUAAGAUUUUAUUUAUUUAUUCAUAGAGAGAGAGAGGCAGAGACACAGGCAGAGGGAGAAGCAGGCAUCAUACAGAGAGCCUGAUGUGGGAUUCGAUCCAGGGUCUCCAGGAUCAUGCCCUGGGCUGCAGGCGGCACUAAACCGCUGCGCCACCAGGGCUGCCCGACGAUAAUUUUCUAAAAUAGUUUUCUGUAGAGAGAAUAAAAGAAAAUUCAUCCUUUUUUCUAGCAUGGUUGAUCAAAAUUUGUCUUUUUUUUGAUAAUCUUAUGGUUUUAUUAACACACAUAUGACACGCAUAUCAGCUGUCUAUUCAUUUUUUUCACUGUGCAGCCUGGCAUUAGGAUUGGUGAAUCUGAUGGCCACCUAGGCUGUUCCUCCCACAAUGGCUUUGCAGCUCAUGGAGGAGAGAGACAUUGUGAGCAGCACUUUAGGCUCCUUGGCCUCAUGGACUAGGAACUUCUGGAAGCCACUGGACAGCAUGCACUUUGCUUUCUUAUUGCUCACGUAACCACUGUUGGGCAUCAAGAUCUGGCCCUUGAAUCUUCUGUGCACCCUACAGCUAGUACCUCUGGGUUUCCACCACUUGUGCUUCAUUUUGACAUCUGACUGGUGCUGGAUGAACUUCUUGGUCCUCUUUUUAACAAUCGUGGGCUUUACCAGAGGUCUGAAGAUGGCCAUGAUGACAAGUUUAAUCGCUGUCCCAGUGACUUCUGCAUUAAGGAGAAGGCAAGAUAAAGGAUCCCUUACCAGGUGGAGAAAGAGGCUUUCUGAGUAGUGAAAGACUCUGAGAAGCCAGUGGGCCGUGUGGUCUGGGAGCGCUCGGCGCGGGCGGUGGUCGGAGCAGGGGCCACCUUGACGGACGCGGGGACGAUCGCUGUCGCGCAGCUGGCAGGGCCCGGAAACGCAGUGGGGACCAGAAAGCCCUUUCCGAAGACACGGAAGGCGGCGGAGGAGAGGAACGGCAGCGCCCCGGUCCCGGCGCAUUUGAGAAGGAAAAUGCUUGAGGUAACCCGUGUUGGCAGCUUUUAUAGCUUCCUCCCAGUAAAGUGCCGGCCGCCCCCGAACAGCCUCUGUUUUCUCUCCGUGU